UCGAAGAUGUGACCCUGACUAUGGUGCAAUAUAAGUUGGCUGGACAGUUAAUAUAAAUACAUUCUAACUUCAGAACAACGCCACAAAUAAUCAUGCGACGGGGUCAUUUAUUUUACCAUUAAAUCGACAGGUUAUGGAUGGUGUGAUUCGUCUAAGUUUAGAUAUUGAUGAGGUCUGGACAUUAACGACUAUUACUACUGGACAAAAGGGGCAACACAACCCUCCACCGCCAUCAGCACCGUUCCCGUUACCUUAUGCAGAUGACUUCGAAGUAUACAACAUUUAUUCUGAAGCGUAUAAUUUGGUUGCCCAAGCUGGUUAUUAUGAGAUUACUGAUGUGGGAUCUCCCCAUAAUAAAGUUAUCCGCCAGAUGUCGCUUGAGAUGCCAGUUGCAUGGGGUAAAACAGAUUUACUGGGAGUUACACUUGCUUUGAUAGGGAAUACGAACUGGACUGAUAUAAAUAUAUCUGUUGACGCACGUCCAGCUCCAGUAAAUGGAACUCAUGGUGUUUUUGUUGCCUGUAGAUUGUACAAUCUGGGUUUACGAGAUGGCAUCAAUGCUGGAUUAUACUUCUUCAUUUUCCCAGCAAAUAAAACAUUUGUAGUUUCUGGCGAUGUCGUUAGAAAACACUUGGUUUUAAGCGGCCAGCAUGCUGGAAUAACAGCUGAAUGGAACCAACUUUCACUAUCAGUAAAGGGAAGUGAAGCUGUAGGAAGUAUUAAUAGUGUACAGGUCUUCAAGACUACAAUACCAGAUGGUACAGUUCAAGGAUUUGCUGGAUUGGGAACAACUUCUUAUAAACUGGCUGAUUUUGAUAAUUUGAAUAUUAGCAGACCUUAAAGUUUUGAUGUAACUGAUAAAAUAUUGAUCUUAAUUGCAGCAG
Molecule: long non-coding RNA, 884 nt
Organism: Patella vulgata (common limpet)
Lineage: Eukaryota; Metazoa; Mollusca; Gastropoda; Patellidae
Exons: 5
Source: RefSeq, a predicted model, not a curated record